Molecule: long non-coding RNA, 237 nt
Filed under: Dromaius novaehollandiae (emu)
Lineage: Eukaryota; Metazoa; Chordata; Aves; Casuariiformes; Dromaiidae
Description: lncRNA (ENSDNVG00000010482.1)
Source: RNAcentral
AUGGCUACCCAACAGAGAACCUGGCCCGAAUUCUGUAGUCAUGCUGGUGUGGAAGAGCAAUUCAACUGGUGUCGGAGGAUUUCCAUUGACAUAAAUUUAGUGGUUGCAAGCUUCCUGCAGAACAAACAGGCUCCUACAUUGAGGAACUUUACAGGUAGCAAAAGGUUUUCACUCCCCCUCAUCAUUUCAUCAUUUCUACCAAAAGAACUGGAGAGCUGUGGUCAAUGGCAUCACUGA